GGGGGUUGCAGGCUUCUCAGAAGCCAGCUCUCCUUAAAUGUAUUAGCGGACCGCCUUUGUGGACCGGCUCUGGUGUGAUAAUUAUCUACGCUAUUGUCUGGAAAGCAGCUUUAUGAGGCUCUGCUUCUAACCGUCUCUUUACUGAGACAAUUUAUUGACCAUCUGACCUCAAAUCAGGUAGGACUACCCGCUGAACUUAA
RNAcentral lists this unclassified non-coding RNA (200 nucleotides) under soil metagenome. RNAcentral describes it as "partial contains internal transcribed spacer 2 and large subunit ribosomal RNA". The record is from RNAcentral.